AGGUCUCCGUUGGUGAACCAGCGGAGGGAUCAUUACUGAGUUUACGCUCUAUAACCCUUUGUGAACAUACCUAUAACUGUUGCUUCGGCGGGUAGGGUCUCCGUGACCCUCCCGGCCUCCCGCCCCCGGGCGGGUCGGCGCCCGCCGGAGGAUAACCAAACUCUGAUUUAACGACGUUUCUUCUGAGUGGUACAAGCAAAUAAUCAAAACUUUUAACAACGGAUCUCUUGGUUCUGGCAUCGAUGAAGAACGCAGCGAAAUGCGAUAAGUAAUGUGAAUUGCAGAAUUCAGUGAAUCAUCGAAUCUUUGAACGCACAUUGCGCCCGCCAGCAUUCUGGCGGGCAUGCCUGUUCGAGCGUCAUUUCAACCCUCAAGCUCUGCUUGGUGUUGGGGCCCUACAGCUGAUGUAGGCCCUCAAAGGUAGUGGCGGACCCUCCCGGAGCCUCCUUUGCGUAGUAACUUUACGUCUCGCACUGGGAUCCGGAGGGACUCUUGCCGUAAAACCCCCAAUUUUCCAAAGGUUGACCUCGGAUCAGGUAGGAAUACCCGCUGAACUUAAGCAUAUCAAUAAGCGGAGGAGGUC
This 583-nucleotide ribosomal RNA is filed under the name fungal endophyte. Its description in RNAcentral is "eukaryotic LSU rRNA". The stretch from base 208 to 361 matches the Rfam family "5.8S ribosomal RNA". The record is from RNAcentral. Lineage: Eukaryota; Fungi.